RNAcentral lists this ribosomal RNA (253 nucleotides) under uncultured bacterium. RNAcentral describes it as "partial 16S ribosomal RNA". It matches the Rfam family "Bacterial small subunit ribosomal RNA", at positions 524 to 776 of the family's 1533-position model. The record is from RNAcentral.
UACAGAGGUCCCAAGCGUUGUUCGGAAUUACUGGGCGUAAAGCGCGCGCAGGCGGGUCAUCAAGUCAGAGGUGAAAUCCCAGAGCUCAACUCUGGAACUGCCUUUGAAACUGGUGACCUUGAGUACGGGAGAGGUGAGUGGAAUUCCCAGUGUAGAGGUGAAAUUCGUAGAUAUUGGGAAGAACACCGGUGGCGAAGGCGGCUCACUGGCCCGUAACUGACGCUCAGGCGCGAUAGCGUGGGGAUCAAACAGG